AUACUCUGGUUUCUCUUCAGAUCGGAAAAAUCUUUUGGCUUUUACUAAAGAUUUCCGAGGAGAUAAACAAUUCUGAAUGUUAACCCAAUUUGGGGGGGUCUUGCAUUUGCAGGGCC
Molecule: small nuclear RNA, 116 nt
Organism: Prolemur simus (greater bamboo lemur)
Lineage: Eukaryota; Metazoa; Chordata; Mammalia; Primates; Lemuridae
Gene: U5
Rfam family: U5 spliceosomal RNA
About the family: U5 RNA is a component of both types of known spliceosome. The precise function of this molecule is unknown, though it is known that the 5' loop is required for splice site selection and p220 binding, and that both the 3' stem-loop and the Sm site are important for Sm protein binding and cap methylation.
Source: Ensembl